This 492-nucleotide ribosomal RNA is filed under the name uncultured bacterium. RNAcentral describes it as "partial 16S ribosomal RNA". It matches the Rfam family "Bacterial small subunit ribosomal RNA", at positions 29 to 507 of the family's 1533-position model. The record is from RNAcentral.
AGUGAACGCUGGCGGUAGGCCUAACACAUGCAAGUCGAACGGCAGCACAGUAAGAGCUUGCUCUUACGGGUGGCGCGUGGCGGACGGGUGAGGAAUACAUCGGAAUCUACUUUUUCGUGGGGGAUAACGUAGGGAAACUUACGCUAAUACCGCAUACGACCUACGGGUGAAAGCAGGGGAUCUUCGGACCUUGCGCGAUUGAAUGAACCGAUGUCGGAUUAGCUAGUUGGCGGGGUAAAGGCCCACCAAGGCGACGAUCCGUAGCUGGUCUGAGAGGAUGAUAAGCCACACUGGAACUGAGGAACGGUCCAGACUCCUACGGGAGGCAGAAGGGGGGAAUAUUGGAGAAUGGGCGCAAGCCUGAUCCAGCCAUACCGCGUGGGUGAAGAAGGCCUUCGGGUUGUAAAGCCCUUUUGUUGGGAAAGAAAAGCAGCAGGUUAAUACCCCGCUGUUCUGACGGUACCCAAAGAAUAAGCACCGGCUAACUUCGUG